This is a non-coding RNA of Danio rerio (zebrafish), 1924 nucleotides long. Lineage: Eukaryota; Metazoa; Chordata; Actinopteri; Cypriniformes; Danionidae. The record is from RefSeq and is a predicted model, not a curated record.
AUAUACUGUUUGCUAUGGAAUGCAAAAACUUUGAAGCUCAAUAUCUCAAAAUCAUUCAGAACACAGAUAGAACCAUAUAAUUCUAAGGAGACGAUAUGACAAGUUUCUUGUACAUUUUAACUCUCCUGUAACCUCCAAAGAAUUUUCUCUUGUUUUCUCUGCAGUUAAUUCUAAUAUUCUUUCCUUUUUUUAGAGGUGUAACUUCAUUUAUAAGCCCAUAAUCAGUCUAGUUGAUGCAGUGUGUGGUAAAAUUAGUUUCUCACAGCCUAAAAAUAACAAAUUUAUUCGCUCUCUUUUUUAAAGCAAGUUGUAUUUAAACCUAGCUCUAUUACGUUUUGGAAUAAUUUUGUAAGAAUUCCUAAAUGGGAAAGUAUUUAGUCAUUGUCUCACAAAUUUUUAGUUACAAAUAAGAUAAAAGAAAUACAUUUUAAACGUAUUCAUAAAUUGUACCCGGUUAAACAUUUCCUCAGUAAAUUUAAAAGGGAUAUUGAUAUAAGUUGCUCUUUUUGUUCUUUGCAUUUGGAAACUGUACCCCACAUCUUUUGGCACUGAGGUUAUGUUAAAAAGCUUUGGUAUGAUGCGUCUGUUUUUAUAAAAGAAAAAAAAGGUACUCUUUAAUUUUAAUCUGCAUUUUAAAAACAUAUUCUUUGGAUAUUUUAAUUAUGAUCAUUUGAUAUGACAAAGUUUUUGUUAUUAACCUAUUUAUUUUGUUCAUUAAGUUUCAUAUUCUUAAGUGUAAAUUUUCCAACAUGAAACCCUGUUUUACUGUGUUUUAUAAGGAACUGAAAAAUUACUUUCGCACUAUUCAGCAUCGUGCUAAUCUAAGGCCAUUAAAACUGUCCAAUUUUCAAAAUUUUUGAUUAAAUGUAAAGGUCCUGCUUAUUUGUAAGAAUUGUUAUUUAUUUAUACUCUUGCUUUUAUGUUUGUUUAAUUUAUUUAUGUUUGUACUGUUGUUAUUAUUUACUUUCUAUCACCCUGGCAUUGUUUUGUUUACUAUAUUGUCAUGUAUCUGUUGUUUAAAGCAUAAUAAAAAAGAAGAAAGGAAAACAGUGUGCUGGUAUAACAUAGGUUACUUACUAUCAAUGUCUUUCUCAACAAAAAAGAAAUCUGAAAAUCUGUUGUUUUUUCUAGGAUGGUCAUUCCGAACCUGUGCUUGCGGAAGUGGCAAUGAUGCUCAGGUUGAUGAAUGACCCAACUUGUCCCAGCAUCAUCGGAUUACACCACUGGGUUGAGAAUAAGAAGGACUUCUAUCUCAUUCUGGAGUACGCAGAGUCAUCCCAGAUCUUGGCUCGUUACGUCAGACGUACAUCGGGCAUUGAUGAAAACCAAGCUCGCGGUUAAUGCGUCAGUUGAUCCAAGCCGUCAAGUUCUGCGCUGAGCGUGGAGUUUUCCAUGGUGAUAUCCACGCGGGGAACAUCCUGGUGAUUCAACCUCGAUUAGAGCUCAAACUGAUCGACUUUGGUUGUGCUCGACCAAUUACCAGCGAACCUUUCAAAAGCCGUGAUUAUGGAGGCGAGUUGGCAUUUUGUGUUGGUUUCUUUGGUCACAGUAUUGUCUUAUGAAAUGACUGAAUUCUGAAAAUGUCUCUCUUACAGGAGCCAUAGUUUACACACCACCUGAGAUCUUGAGGGAUCCCACAUUCUUUCCUAACCCGGCAUACGUCUGGACAAUAGGCCUCAUCCUGUAUGAAAUAUUGCACAGACGAUUGGCCUUUACCAACACACGUUCGAUAAUCAUUGGAAAACUUAAGACAGACCUCACCUUAUCUUCAGCAUGCCUGGAGCUGAUUUCCCAGUGUUUGGUCCGCCAUCCAGAGAAGCGGCUACAGUUACAUCAGGUUGAAGAGCACCAGUGGUUCAAUCCAACGAGCCCAAAUCCUGCGCAGCAGCUAGACAAGAGGAGAAAACACUAGAGAAGCGAGGAG